AUUACUAAAGAAAAUUUAAGUUGAUAGAGAUUAGUGCUUUUCGUUAAACAACCAUUAUACUUUAAAAGCUUAAGUUUCCCAUCACGUUUGGACCCGAGAUUUUUUGCAUGACCCAUGACGUUGAUUUGAAUUAAAUGAGAAAAAAUUAAUUAUGCUAGGGGCUUAACGUGACUUGAACUCAGGCCCUCCUUUUUUUAUACCAUGUGAAAUAACCAUUUUUAUAUUUAACAAUUUUACUAAUUCUCUUUUUCAUGUCUGGACUUGAGAGUUUUAAUUGGCCCACGGUGUGGACCACGGUGUGGACUUCAAUACAAUAAAAUUGAAUAUAAUGAAAUCAAGAGUGCAUUAUUGGAAUUCCAACUGAAUCAGGAUCUCGUGCUCAAAUACUAUAUAAAAUAAUCAAUUAUUCUAAGAACUUAAGGUAAUUAAAAAAUAGUGUUUUUAAU
RNAcentral lists this long non-coding RNA (446 nucleotides) under Ananas comosus (pineapple). RNAcentral's name for it is "long non-coding RNA (ACOM_LNC029456)". The record is from RNAcentral. Lineage: Eukaryota; Viridiplantae; Streptophyta; Magnoliopsida; Poales; Bromeliaceae.